RNAcentral lists this ribosomal RNA (495 nucleotides) under uncultured bacterium. Its description in RNAcentral is "partial 16S ribosomal RNA". It matches the Rfam family "Bacterial small subunit ribosomal RNA", at positions 30 to 507 of the family's 1533-position model. The record is from RNAcentral.
UGAACGCUGGCGGCGUGCCUAAUACAUGCAAGUCGAGCGAACGGACGAGAAGCUUGCUUCUCUGAUGUUAGCGGCGGACGGGUGAGUAACACGUGGAUAACCUACCUAUAAGACUGGGAUAACUUCGGGAAACCGGAGCUAAUACCGGAUAAUAUUUUGAACCGCAUGGUUCACAAGUGAAAGACGGUCUUGCUGUCACUUAUAGAUGGAUCCGCGCUGCAUUAGCUAGUUGGUAAGGUAACGGCUUACCAAGGCAACGAUGCAUAGCCGACCUGAGAGGGUGAUCGGCCACACUGGAACUGAGACACGGUCCAGACUCCUACGGGAGGCAGCAGUAGGGAAUCUUCCGCAAUGGGCGAAAGCCUGACGGAGCAACGCCGCGUGAGUGAUGAAGGUCUUCGGAUCGUAAAACUCUGUUAUUAGGGAAGAACAUAUGUGUAAGUAAUUGUGCACCUCUUGACGGUACCUAAUCAGAAAGCCACGGCUAACUACGUG